This 341-nucleotide unclassified non-coding RNA is filed under the name Hevea brasiliensis (rubber tree). The record is from RNAcentral. Lineage: Eukaryota; Viridiplantae; Streptophyta; Magnoliopsida; Malpighiales; Euphorbiaceae.
AGCUGAUUUAAUGCAAGAAUCAAAUCAAGAAGUACCUGCUUGGCUCUCUCGUUAUGCUGUUCGCUCUUCUUAUGGAGGGAGGAACCGUCGUUCUGGAGGAGGCAGAUUUGGUGGCCGUGACUUUCGAAGGGACUCUUCAUUCAGUAGGGGCAGUUCAGAUUAUUAUAGUGGAGCAAACAGCAGCGGUGGAUAUGGGGCUUCUGGCGGAUAUGGAGGAUAUGGUUCAGGGAUGACCAGUGCAUGGGAUUAAUGGCAGAACACCUUAAACAGCUUACAGUACUUGGUGCCUAGUGGUUGUGGACUGUCGUUGCUAUACUGGUGGGAGUUUCUUUUUUUUUUUC